UAUUUUUAUAUCUAUAUCUAUAUAAAUUUUAAUGUGAAUACUAUUUAUUUACAUAAAGAAAGGUUUUCAAACCAUUAGUUUAAUAUAGAUUAAAGCUUGGCUCUGACUUUAAACAUAAUAAAGAACUAAAAAAUACACAUGGUUUUUAUAGAAAGAGGCGAGGAGAAGAAAUAUUACUGUUGAAUUAAAAAAAUUAACGGCUGGUUUUUCUUCAAGAUAUUAUAGGACUAGAUGAUAUUUUGAAACGCCCCGCUAACACCAGUGCUGAAGAUUAAAAAAAGAGUGUAAACUUGGGUUAAUUUAGUUCAAAAAUCUGGUUAACUUGGUGCCAGCAUCCGCGGUUAAACCAAGAAGAUUAAGUUAUGUAUUUUCGGUAAAAAGAUAGUUAAGCAUUAAAAUAAUAAGUUUUCUUAAUUAUUAUUAGGAAGUAAAAUUCGAAGAUAAUAUAGAAAUUUAGUUAAAACUAAAAAGCUGAAGCUAUGACACCCUUGAGGGAAACUGGGAUUAGAUACCCCACUAUUCUUGGAUAUAAAAAAUAUAUGUAUUACCAGAGUACUAUGGAUUGAUUACAUUUAAAACUCAAAGAGCUUGGCGGUGUUUUAGACUCUUUAGGGGAACCUGUCUCAUAAUCGACAAUCCACGUAAAACCUGACCUUUAUUUGCUUUCAGUUUGUAUACCGUCGUCGUCAGGUAACUUUUUAGAAGAAAGAAGUUAGCAACUGAGCUUUUAUAAGCUCUUACGUCAGAUCAAGGUGCAGCUUAUAUAAAGGAGAGGAUGGGUUACAAUUAUAAAGAUUAUAAUUACGGAAUAACAAUUUUAAAUAAUAGCUUAUAAAGGAGGACUUAAAAGUAAAAUAAAAUAGAUAAAUAUAUUGAAUUGAGCUCUGAAACGUGCACACAUCGCCCGUCGCUCUCGUUGAAAAACGAGAUAAGUCGUAACAUAGCAGGGGUAAUGGAAAUUGUCCCUAAACU
RNAcentral lists this non-coding RNA (972 nucleotides) under Rapana venosa (veined rapa whelk). RNAcentral describes it as "12S ribosomal RNA". The stretch from base 257 to 971 matches the Rfam family "Microsporidia small subunit ribosomal RNA". The record is from RNAcentral. Lineage: Eukaryota; Metazoa; Mollusca; Gastropoda; Neogastropoda; Muricidae.